AAGGUGUGCGCUGUUUUUGUUUGAGUUUUUUAUUCGAGCGAUUACGUUGCGCUGCCUGCGGAGGAGGAUUGACGACGCCAACCUUACACACAUGUGUUUUUAUUGAAGACGAAUUUGCUUUGGCCGAAUUUCGGUUUGGCCAGAGGUUUUGUUUAAAACUCCAAACAAAUACUUUUAGUACAAUCAGUCAAAACGAAUCUGUUAGAUCAGAUGAACUAAUUUUAAAACUUUCAACAACGGAUCUCUUGGUUCUCGCAUCGAUGAAGAACGCAGCGAAAUGCGAUAAGUAAUGUGAAUUGCAGAUUUUCGUGAAUCAUCGAAUCUUUGAACGCAUAUUGCACCCUUUAGUAUUCUAAAGGGUAUGCCUGUUUGAGCGUCAUUUCUCUCUCACACACCCAACUGCAUAAGUGGGUGAGUGGUUGUGGGCAGUAGGCGGUUGGCUUUUUGCUAGCUGCGUUUGCCUGAAAGAAAUUGACCGUGCCGGCCGUUGAGAAGGCUGCGCUGUUUAUUCAAUGUAUUAGGUUCUACCAACUCGUUGAUUGACGGAGCGGCUGUUAAUUCUUGUGGCAGCUAAGGCGCGUCGAACUUUUUACAUCAAGUUUGACCUCAAAUCAGGUAGGAUUACCCGCUGAACUUAAGCAUAUCAAUAAGCGGAGGAAAAGAAACCAACAGGGAUUGCCUCAGUAGCGGCGAGUGAAGCGGCAAGAGCUCAAAUUUGAAAUCUGGUACCUUUGGUGCCCGAGUUGUAAUUUGAAGAAGGUAUUCUUUGGUUUGGCCCCUGUCUAUGUUCCUUGGAACAGGACGUCAUAGAGGGUGAGAAUCCCGUGCGAUGGGGUGGUCCAUUCCUUGUAAGAUUCCUUCGACGAGUCGAGUUGUUUGGGAAUGCAGCUCUAAGUGGGUGGUAAAUUCCAUCUAAGGCUAAAUAUUGGCGAGAGACCGAUAGCGAACAAGUACAGUGAUGGAAAGAUGAAAAGAACUUUGAAAAGAGAGUGAAAAAGUACGUGAAAUUGUUGGAAGGGAAGGGUAUUUGAUCAGACUUGCAUUGUGUUAUGGCUGCUCCUUGUGGGUGGUCCUCUAGCGCUUUGCUGGGCCAGCAUCGGUUCGUGCGGCAAGAUAAUUGCGAUUGAAUGUGGCUCUGCUUCGGUGGAGUGUUAUAGCUUUCGUUGAUGUUGCCAGUGUGGACCGAGGACUGCGUCUUU
RNAcentral lists this small RNA (1199 nucleotides) under Ogataea sp. ZIM 2473. Its description in RNAcentral is "eukaryotic LSU rRNA". The stretch from base 602 to 1199 matches the Rfam family "Eukaryotic large subunit ribosomal RNA", at positions 1 to 604 of the family's 3401-position model. Lineage: Eukaryota; Fungi; Ascomycota; Pichiomycetes; Pichiales; Pichiaceae. The record is from RNAcentral.